This is a long non-coding RNA of Anopheles stephensi (Asian malaria mosquito), 8445 nucleotides long. RefSeq lists it as uncharacterized. The transcript has 2 exons. The record is from RefSeq and is a predicted model, not a curated record. Lineage: Eukaryota; Metazoa; Arthropoda; Insecta; Diptera; Culicidae.
CUAAUAAGAAUCAAGUGGACUUAAUUUUCAGUUGUUUAUUUUUAUUUAUUGCCGAGAGUUUUCCGAACUGCUGGUACUCGAACGCUGCCGCGCAUUCGAACACAGUGAAGGUGACAGUCGGCUCCUCCGUUCCGUACACCGAAGGAGCAAAGGAUUAGCGCAAAUCUUGUUCCAGACAAUUUGAAACGAAAGGAUUUCCGCGCCGGAUCUGAAGCUCCCGCUUUGUGCACACACACACACACACGCGCGCACGUGUACACAACCGCGCUCCUCCGUAACACUGGUUCUACCGAUACUGAAUUACGUCUUUUUGUUUGGUUUCACAUUCAGCAGCAAACGUUGUGCCUCCCUCCACACAUUGCUCGGAAGUAAAACACCAUUUUCGACAAAAGAAAAACAACGAAAGUCAAAUCCUUGCCGGCCUUCCCGUUUCGCAGAGGCCUUCCCGCCUCGGUUGCCCGUGCGUUCGCCGAGCGUCAAGCGAGAAUCGGAGAGUUCGGGGGCACGUUUGACGGUUUCAGUUGCAAAGCGUUUUGUGCCGGUCGCACCAAAAUGUUCAUCUAAAUUUCAUUUGAUUUAAUUUUAAUUAGAUUUCUAUGUUUAACUAGCAAAAGCUACACACACGUACACGGUUCGGUACAUAAGAGAGCCGUCUGAUGUGUAUCACAAAGGCACAUCCGAUAUGGGAAAAUUAAGUUCAGUCGAGGCGGCGGGUCGGGGUUGCAGCCGCCAACGCUUGCCAAAACAUUCCGAACGAAUCCGAUCUUUGCCAGUGAAAAUUGGAGCCGUUUUUCCGAUGGAUGGUCCUUAGCUUUCUUCCCUCGCUGUGGAAACGGGCAGGUGAAGCAAGGGGUAUGGAAGGCACAACUUUGCUAAACUAAUACUGGGGCGGCACUCAUUUGUGUCAUAAUCGACUCGAAGAACGAUUAGCUUUUCGGAGGAGAAGCUUUUCACUGAGGUUCCACUCAUCUCCUUUGCAUGUUCAUGGUAGCUAAUAAAACAAAAAACAAACUCUUAGCUAUUUGACUUGGACCCCAAACUCGCACCCUCUGGCAGUUUUCCCGUGGCCUCCCGUGGCGAACUGACUACCAUCGGUCGGUCGGUGGUAAAUAAUUGCAUAGCUAGCUGCUAUUGGAAUUAAAACUUCUCCGAUCACGAAUGCACGAAUUUGAAUAAAACAUUAACAGCCUGACUUGCCGCUCACGGAAUGUUGAUGCUGGGCCAUGGAUGAUUGGAUAUGUGUUGAAAUUGCUAUGACCGUGAUGCACUUAUACAUCACUCACACAUACACACUCACACUCAUACACUCAGUAUGAAUGAAUGAAUUUAGAGUAGUACGUUUAGGCUAAAAGUCUGGUCAAAUGGUUACGGAAACGAAAGAAUCAAAGAUGCCAACUCCUAGUUUGAACCUGAAAUCCUGUACAAGAGCCACUAGCUGCUUCAUUGACUAGUCGGAAAAAUCGUAAUCCUGCUUUGGCCAAGGUAAAUAGAGGCUGUUUACCAUUUCGCCAUCUGAGAACAACGCGCGGAGUAUUGGAUUUAAUCCAUGUACACUGCAUACACACAUAACGUUCCUCCUUCUGGUUUGGGUUGAAUUUUUCCGUCCCUUAGUAUCUAGGCGAUGAAUACACUACCACCACAAAUCUCGUGUGUCGUUUAAAGGAACAGGAGCAGCAGACAUGCAGAUAGUUUGGUUUGCAAGACCUCUUGCUGUUGUCUAUUGCGCGACGCCGCAUCCAAAUGGUUCGUUGUAGGACUAUCAUUUUGCUCGAUUUUCGGGAAUUCGUAGAUACAACUUUCAUCCCCAGCCAGUGCAUACCGCUAACCGGCGGGUGAGGGAAGUUGCACACAAACCUCCUUUCAAAAUUUAUUCUCCCGCAUAUCAAACUGCAAAAUACUACUGCAUAGCUAUUAUUAAGAGAUUAUAAAAUUUUUACAACAAUCCGUACCCCUUGGCCCCAACUGGAUCGAGAGCUUUACCCUGCUUUGAGGAAUCAGGAUCAUGCCAAGGUGAUGGGCAUGGACCUUGGCGAGAUUUCUGGAAUUCUAUAAGUUUGUGUUGCAAACACAUGCGACCUUUAAUAUCGAUGAGAUUGUACUGCUUUAGUGCAAGAUUUUAAUAAGGACAACGUCAUUUUUCACUUGCUUUUGUAAAACUUGUAAAAUAGACUUGUAUCUUCAAACUGUGACCAUUGGUAUGCAAGCUACAACAGUUUUCCAAAUGACAUCGAACACUCAGCCCCAUCCGUUCCAUAUUCAUAGCGUAUUUAUGUUGUUGCAUAGGAUAAUCUUUUAUUUCUUACGGAUAAAACGAAUGAAAAACAUCCCGAAAGGACACGAAUUUUGGACGCUAGUCCUAAAUGCACGCUACCAUACCUUGCCAGGCGAACUGUAUCUGAUAUUGCUCGGGGUGUCCUCCUCUCCCAGGUACAAUACGCGCGCACACGUGUACUCGUCUUUUAGGGGGAAGGUUAGGUAAAUUUUUGCAACCAUCCAAUCCAAAAACCAAAGCGAUAAGCGCCGGCGACCACGUGUGUCCAGCGCAGAAACACGGACACUGGUAAACUCGGUUCAGAAGCGACUGCUGCCCAUGAAGAAGCACCGGUGUUCUGCAAAUGAAUCCAUUAGGAAUCUGAAAGUGAUUAUUAUAAUUUUCGCGAAGGUUUCGGCUCGCCGGUCCACACCGUUCCAGCAGAGCGUGUUCAAGCGCGAGGUUUUCUCGGGUUACCGUCCUGUCCUACCGACAGGACCUCCCUUCCCCCCUGGUAUCCUCAUGCACCCAUCAAAGAAGCGGAACCCAAAGUUACGUUCGCUUAAUUAUUUAAUCAAAGCAAAUAUAUUAGGUGGAAAGAUACGGAGUGGAUAUGUGUGCGCGGACUGACCGGACCCUAGCCAUGUUUGCAAUGUACGGCGGCGGCACCGUCGUGCGUGGAUCCCUUUUGCUUGAAUUGGUCCUUUGGUCCAGCGGAAAAGGAUCCAUGACGAUGGUGCCGACCGUGAGUGUUGCAGCCGCAGCACCACCAAGGAAGAAGAAAAAAGUCUCCCGAAGCCGAAAAUCGUUUCCCCCAAAAACCCUUUGGUGUAGGGAGUUUUUGGGUAUGCCGGGAAAUGCAACGAUGGGGGUAUUGGGCGGAUUGUGGAGGGAGAAUAGCGAGAAUCCUUUUAAUAUUUUAUUACAUUUUAUUUGUCCGCCCAUAAUGUACGGCUUAGGUACGCGCCAUGCAUGAGUUUUGUUUCUUCCAUUUUUUUUUUUGUUCAUUUACCUCACCUCAACCCUUGAUUUUCGCCCGCGCCCGUACCGAGACUUUCCUUUGGGCAAGUAUAAUUUAUGUCCAUUUAUCGCAAGUCCGUAAAAAUCGUAAGUAACCUUUCGUUUGCACACUGGCGGCGAGCGUCCCGGUCGGCGGGGUCCUGUUCGCAUUAGACAGUCAUGGCCAGGGUAUGGGGUCCGCUGCCGAUGGGUUCCUAUUUCAAACGAUAACCCACCUUCACUAAGGUCCCGGCCGCACAAAUCCGCCCAAAAUGAAAGGAUCAUGAUGAUCAAACGUAAUGGAAGUUUUUCUUUGAUUCCCGAAAAAUCUCUUUCGCAUUCGUGGCAGGUAGUAGCCGCUGCGCUGGGCUACAUGUGUUGAAGCAAGGCCAAUUUCGUGCCAAUUCCACGCCACGAGAAAAGGGUCCCAUGGUCGUCCGUGUGGCACAAUCUAGCUACUUCCCAUUUCUUUUCCAACGCAAACAUGCUUUGCGGCCGAGCUGUUGGAGCGAAGGCGAUGGAGAGUCGCAGGGCUGCAGUCAGCGGAUCGGCUGUGUUCAAAUAAAUCAAAAAACACCACACUCGCUGAUGCAGCGCCAUUAAAAAGCGAUUAAAAGCCAUCAUCUCACGCAGUUCGUCGGUUAUCCGGUCGUUCGGGCCUAACUGUGCCUAGUAUAAAUAUUUAUUUCCUGCUACCACCACAAGUAACGAAAUCAUAUUAAACGGAAAGGUUUCAGCCUCGGCGGUGUUCUAAACCGCACUCCGGCCCUCGCAUGGACUGGAUUGAAUUUUUAAGGACGAAAGCCGUAUGGGUUUCUCGGAAUUCCGCGUGUAUCGCGAAUUCCCCACGGUGCGUCACGAUGCGCAAUUAAACACAAACGGUGUCGCAUAUUUUUAUAACUAGCUGCUGUUGCUGCCUUUCACUGCAGAUAUUUUGUCCUUCGUUUUUAUUUUUUCCCCCAUGCUCAACCUUAUUCGUAAAGCAAUGUGCUCCGCUACUCCAGGCUGGUCAGGCUGGUGCCAUAUGAACGCUGAUUUCCUUGAACCUGGAUCCUUCGCUUCCGGGGCGUUGGCUUUCUUACGCGAGUGGCCUGGGUCCCUGUGCGAAGCGAACCUAUGGAGUAUCCUUUAAAAACGGUAUAAAACACCGAAAAAAGCUGCCCCCUCUCUCUUUUCUUUCUACCGUUGCUAGCGGAUGGCUCCUCACAAAGUGACAUGAAUUAUAAUAAUGUCUUUACCUGACUUAAAACUUCGCUAACUAAUGUGUUCAGUUUGAAAUUUAUAUUCCAAAUUGUUCGCCACACUACCCUCUACACCGGUCACGAUGCUCGGCACCAGUUUGCGAUUAUUUCUGUCCGCCUUGCGCGAACCCGGUACCGCGAAAUCAUGCUUUAAGAGUUUGUUACCAUAAUCUGAGACAAAAAGGAAAAAAUAAACUCCAUGCACAGGUUUUACUCUUAUUCUCUAAGAAUGAGAGCACCUCCUAUAGUGGCAAGAGUUCGUUACCAGAUACAGCUGAAGGCUCAGUUAACGCGUUCAGCCAAUGCAUAAAGGCCAACAUACUAAUAAUAUGCUAAUGUAAUGAAACAACGGACCAGUAUUAGUACGAAUGGCACACACACCCAUACCGAGAUCAUGCUCAUCGAAAGGACAUAGGAGUAAUCGUCCUCAUCUUUCGUUAUCAGCAUCACUUCCUCGGCCAAAAACAUCAUUUCACUCUUCGUUCGACAUCACUCUCCACUCACGCGUAAAAUGCGGGUGAAUAGCAUGAAAGCAAAAUGAAAGCAUUUACUACCACGUGGCCCUUCCACCUGACAUCCGGCAUCCGCUAAAGCACCGUGUACAUGUAUCGUUUGGCGCGAGUGAAGAAGCCACCACCAAACAUCGAUGCCAUUGGCAGCAUUAAGGCCCAUCACCGCGCACCACUGAUGGCAACCUCCAGCCAGCCAGCGUUAACCCUUUUGCUCGUGAUAAUAACGGGUCGUCGAGGUGGCAUCUUCACUCCGUCUCCUCACUUCCGGUCCCCCUGUUCUGUGUACUGGCAGGAGUUUUUAAUAAAUUUUUAAAGGCUUCUCCACUAAGCCUUUGUCACCUUGCCCAAGCCUUUUCGAGCCGGUCGUACCUUUCUACCUUUUCACCGGUCGUGUUUUGACAGAUUCAACCAUCAACCGAGCGAUAAUCACCUUCAAAAUUCAUGCUACGCUUGUUUUCGCUUUUGAUAAGUGAUAACUACCCCGGCCCCGGCCCGUUCAUUCGCUGACACACCCCGUGUCAUGUGCGACUCAGGUUUUCCGAACUGUAACUGAAGGUGGAAAGAAUUUCUGUCAAGCUUUUGCCAUUUUUUACAUUCCGCGGAAAGCACGCGUCUUAUCUCCACAGGAAAAACCUGUAAAAACUCACGUGAAUCGUGUGACCUCCUUCCUUCCUGCUGCUUGCGGCGUCUUACCCUUUUAUUUUGUUCUGCAAACGAGAACGCUCACGCAUGCAGGAAUCUUGUCAGAAAAAUGAUCAGUUCAGAGGCGACACGUGAAACGUCCUGGCACACGACGCGGGUGGGCAUUUUAUCAAACACGAUACACCUAUUCCUUGCCGUUGCCAUUGUCGAUCCGCCGCGCUGCUGCCACGUAGACAAACAAGGACACUGCGAGAGAAAAAUAGGAUUCAAUUAAAAAUCUUCUUCCCGCAGGGUGAAAAGAAGUCAUUUGUAAACAUGAAAUUGUUCUCGCCCUGUUCCAUCUGCGAUCUCCCUGACGCUGGUGGUAGAUGCUGAUGCGUGUGUGAUGUCGCGUGUAUCAUAUGCGUGGAAAAUGUGAUUUUGUGGGUUCGGCUCGACACACCGGGUUGGCUUCGGCCGGGUCACCGGGAGUUUGACUGGUAAAAGAUCAAAAGAAACGAUUCGCGAGACCUUUUCCUUCGGGGCCGUAAACCCAUCUCCGCGGGGACGAAGAAACACGACAGGAAACGGGACGGUUGGAAGGUGGGAACUUCAGAACGGCACGACGGAAGCCAAAUCUCUAAUCUAUGAUUACCAAACGACAAAACUUUAAAUUAAAAAUAAUGUCACGGAUCUGCGAACUCAUUUCUUUUCGACUGCGUCGUUCAGGCGCGAAUAUCGCACAAGAUUUUCACCAUCAUCUGCCCCGGCCUACGAUCCCUGCUAGGUGGAAAAUUCUUCUAAUGUGGGAUCAACUGUGCAGCGCGGGAUUGGGGUUUAGGUGAGCUGGAAGAUGGAAAUCAUAUUCAAAUUUUUAUCCAUCAGUCAAACUUUUUCCUGACUUUUCACAUGUGUGUGCGUGUGCGUAUAUGUAGCUUGUCACCGGCGCGGAUUUCAACGGCUAGCUCAUACACACGGGACCUCAUACUUUUCCAACGCGCGCGCUGUUCCCUCAAGGUGGCCGUUUGGACAUGGACGCUUUCGUGAUUCGAAGGAUGAAAACCGACAGGAAAACGGGACACGACAAGUUGAAGAACUGGUGGCUUAAAAUUCAAAGAUAAAUGAAACCGGACCGCGCCCGCGACAGCCACACAGGACCCCUUUUCUUCUCCCAGGGCCGCUAAUUAAAAAUAAUAUUUUCGUUUAAUUAUAACAAAUAACGGACAGUGGAUGUAAUACAACGUACGACGCAACCGCAAACCACACCCGCAUCCGCACACGUCCACGCGCUUCCUCGGUCCCCGAUUCACAAAUGGUCAUUAUAAUCGUCCAGAGGAUUUAGUCAACCUACUGUGGACUUCUUCCCACACGAUGGUUUCGAUGUUUGAUGCGUUUUCUUAGGCGACUUUCGUCUUCUUCUCUUCCUUGAAGUCGAUUUUGGACGAGAUAUCCUCGCCGGAUCGGCCUCCAAAAGUUUAGAGUCCUUCGGGAACGGCCGGAAAGGAGGCGCCAUUGACUGACGACGAUUGAUGACGAUUCGUCCGCAUACAGUGGUACGCAUAAAUUAAAACCUUUUGCCAAUCUGCUCCACCGAGACCGUAUUGCUGGCGAGAUUCUAAGAUUAACUGCCUGCAAUAUGUUUUCGGACGUGUUCGCCUUUCUUGUGCGAUUUGGAGCGUAAUUUUUGUGUCAAAACGUGGAAUAUGGAUAUUAUUUAUUUUGUAAAAUGUAAAAUGUCAGUGAUGAAGGUGCAAGCGAUACAAGUGAAAAUUGUACGAAAUUUGCAUGCCAUAUGUUGGUAAGGCGGAGAUUGCAUAAUUUCCAACGGAGUCUAAGUGCCUUCGGUUAUGCUUCUUUGAUUUUACGCUUCGUUUACCAAAGUGACGUGUCUUUUAAAGAUUACCCCACGAUCGAAAGGAUUGUGUCCUUUCCCUUAUCAUUUUAUCUUUUUUUUUUUCAUCUAUUCAGUCACCCUCAUGUCACGCAGAGGCUAAUUAAUUACAAUCCAUGUGCCGCCUACCACGUUUAUGCCUGUUCCCGUUGCCUGAAAUGACAAAUUCGGGAAAAAGUGACGCUGCAAGCGAACGGUGAGGACUGGGAACCAAAACAAUAAAAUAAAAUCUCCGCGAAAGGGUUCAAACAAGCCGGUUCAAAUUGAAAAACAUAAAAAAUCACAUCUUUUUCGAAGGACCGUCACCGAACGGAUAAAAAAUCGACACCAGCAGCAGAAGUAUCGAGCUUGCGACGAAGCGACCAGAGGGACAAAGAUGAAACGAUAGUAUACAAAAAAUUAUCUCCAAGAAACACGACAAGGAAAAAUUACAUGCAAUUUACACACAUAAAACGCGCACGGCAAGGAUGACGGCGUCGGUGACGGCCACGGCGGCAAAGAUUCGUCCCUCAGCCCUCACUGCGUUGAGGAGAACACAAUCCGGAAAAUGGCCUUCAGCAAUAGUGGUGACCAAAAAAAAGGAAAACAAACAGCCCACUUGUGGGAGAGCCACGUUCACUUGCCGCCGACCCCAUAAAGCAAACGCGAAAAGCUGCGUUCACCUUCAAUGUCACCCUCGAUUCCGGUUCGCACCGAUUUGCGUCCAAAUUCCGUCGGCUUAAAAAAAAAAGGGGUUCACUAUGGGAAGUUUUAGUUGUCCACGAGAAUAUGUCCUGAAUAUAUACGGGGCGCAGUGCCUUGUACAUUGUAUGGGAUUUGCUCUGUUACUUUCCUUUUUUAACUAGUAUUUACAAAUUCAACAAUUUCUACGAAAUGUGAUGCGUUCUGUUAAGUUCAGGAUUUUAAUAAAAAAGGGCAUAUAGAAAUGUG